AACGAUAGGCUUAUGACAAACACGAAGA
This 28-nucleotide non-coding RNA is filed under the name Cricetulus griseus (Chinese hamster). The record is from RNAcentral. Lineage: Eukaryota; Metazoa; Chordata; Mammalia; Rodentia; Cricetidae.